Molecule: long non-coding RNA, 4565 nt
Organism: Callithrix jacchus (white-tufted-ear marmoset)
Lineage: Eukaryota; Metazoa; Chordata; Mammalia; Primates; Cebidae
Source: RefSeq, a predicted model, not a curated record
CGAGGACCGAGCUCUUCUUUCUCUGCUUCCUUCUCCUUUCUUCUCCCCUCCCCUGUCCUCAUUCCCUGCCUUCUGUCUUGCCCACUCCCACCCCAUUUUCUGUUCCCUGCCCAUUUCCAUUUUCAGCCCUCCUACCUUCUUCUCCCUGCUCUCUUCUCUCCCCCUCCCUUUGGCUCUCUUCCCGCUUGCUGCCUGGGAAGCAGCAUCCAGCUUCUGCCUUCCAAGACCUACUGGGGGAGAAGAAGAGGAUCGCUGGACCUAUUCGGACUUCUCACAUGCUAAAGAGGGGUCAUUCCAGCAGCCUGGAGAAGGAGAUACGGCCAGAGAAUCUUCAUUUCUAAGAGGCGUAGGAUGCUGAGGAUGACCUCCUGCACCUUCCAGGAUGAGAGGAUACUGAUGUGGUCAGCUUACCACCAGGGGCCAGUUGGUCUCCUCAGGAAACAACACCAUUUCAAGGGUUCGAUGUUGGCUUUUCAUCAUGGACAAGUUGCACAUUCAGAAGUGGCAGGAGCUGGAUCAGUCUUGGGAAUGAACAAAACUGCGAAUGAUCAUAAUUCGCAGUUCCAAGCAAAGGGUCACCUGGUCUCCAACGAUCAAGUGUUCCGUCUCUGCCAGAGUUCAUGACAGGCCAGCUGGGAGCUGUUUCACAAAAGGAGUGCCAUUCUCUGCUGUGGCUUACGGGGCUUUGCUUCAGGAUGCCCGGGUCUUCAUUCUGCCUCAGUCCUGGAGCUUGCCGUAAGCUCCUUGCAUCGUCUUCUCCCACCACAAACAUCUCCAACACUACAGGAUCUGCCAGAUCAUAUGACCCAAGACAGAGGGCUGAUUGUACCUUGGCCUGGAUCUGCUGCAGAAUGUUCUCUUCUCUGGGUCCCACCCCUUGCUGUCUUCUCAGCUACCCAGGAUAUGGGCUAGAGCAAUAUUCCUUGACGUGAAAUGUGUGGCCUCCAGAAUGCAGAGAUCUAUCUGAGGCUGUGCUUUCCCCAUCAUGGUAGAAGAUGCAAGAUGCAGCACUUGGUCUUUUAUUUUGGAGAGAAUAUCUCAGCACAGCUCCUGACCACCGAACCCCUAAACUUCACUGAAGUGGCAGGUCCCUGAAUCCUUCUGGGGCUUAUCUUCCACCCUUGGGAGUUCGCUUGUCUUACCGACGCCUCCAGCAUAUCUGCCACUUCUGGCUGGUCCUGUCCAGACACGUAAUGUCAUCUCCCUGAGGUCAUGUGAGGUUCUGAGGAUGACUAGGUGGUACAGUUAUCUUCAGCCUGUAUCAUAGCAGUGAGUGAGACAGUUCCUACAGUCCUGGAGCAAAACCAUCAAUGAAUAGUUUAUCUUUCCCAUCUCAGAGUGAACUGUUUCCUCUCCUCUUUUCUAACCAGAAUGGAAUAAACAAACAAACAAACAAAAAAACGUAUUCACCAAAUCAGUGGCUGCAUGCUAUGUACCCGAGGUCUUAUUAUUCUGCUUUGACAAUAGUGGAACACGGGGCACAGCAAAUGGAUCGGUCAUGCUCUCUGCAGCUGGAAGUCUGCAAGGCGCAUUCUCACACAGGUGGGAAUCGGUGUCCAUAGAUACCCACGCCCCACAUGAAGCUGCAGGGCUGGGCCUGUCUGAGAGUGACACAGGCUGGAGGAGAAACUGGGAGAUGGUGGAUGUCCCUCCUCAGAAAACCUUGCUGUGGAGCCUUCAUGAGUUUUUCCCCUAAUUUUUCAAUGCUGGUUUUUAAUUCAUUUAUUCUCACUUUUAAAUGUGUAUUGCUAUGGAAAGGCGUGUAGCGUUAGAAAUGUCAGAUCCCAAAUUUGCAUGACUCCAAAGUUCGUGGCCUUCCUACUAUACCCCCGCCCCCAGCUCCAGCCUCUGUCAUCCCCCAGUGGGAAAUUCAGUUCUUUGAGUUGUGUGUUGUGUGGUUGCUCUCCACCUUGAGAUAAAGUUCUUGAGAUAAAGAAGGGGGUUCCUCAUUGGCCUCCCAUCAUCCUGGAAGCUCCCUGAGGCUAGGCCCCAGGCUCCAGGACCAGUCUCAGAGCCCCUCCCUUCAUACCCCUGCCUGGAACCGGGAGGCAGGAGGGGGUAAUACUGGGAGAGGGGGACUGGGAAACAGCCAGGAUGGCAUUUGAAGGAGCCAAAGAAGCCUCCCCUUCCUCAGGUCCUGACAGAAGUACUCCUUGGAAAGGAAACGACCAUUGUCCAGUACAGUAGGGGGAAGAGCCCAGGUAAAUGAGGCAUGCCUGGGAGGCUGGGGGUGGCCCUGGGAAUCACAGGAGCUGCCAUCGGGGGGCGUCACCAGCCCCAGCCUCAAGGGUAUGGCUUUGGGAAAGCAGUGGAAAGCUGUGCCGGGGCCCAGGAAAACUGUCAAGGCCAAAGGCACUCAGAGAUUGGCAUUUCCUCCCAAAAGGACUCAUUUGCUCAACAUGGCGUCUCCUAAACCCCUAGACCCCACGCCGCUCUGCCCUCCCUCUUUUGUCAACUCACAUCACUCACUGCAGAGGGCAGAAAACCAACAGUGGGCCUAGUUGCUUGGGUAGAAAAUCAACUUGGCGCUUCUUCAUGCUAGAAAACCGCUGUCCUGUGGAUGGGCCGUUAUAUUCCAGUCCUCUCACCUGCACGUCCGCAGUCAGGAGAUUGACCAGACAAGGAAUUGCAGUGUCCAUUCUGCAGACAAAGUGCGUCUCAGGGACCCUGAGUGAUUUGCUUCCCAGUAGUUGCUUUAAGAUCCCACCAUCUAGUUGCAAUCGUUUCUGUUUUCUCACCUUUGCAAUACCAUGCACCAGUUUGGGUUGUGCGUGGAAUGAGUGUCUGUAAAUUUGAAUCCUGGCUUAGCUACCUCAAGGGAUUCCAAGAUUUCCAGGGGCCCACGGGGAGUCCUGUCAGUGAGAACAACCAGCCACCUCCAGCCCAGAUCAUCUGGCUGCUCUGUGUGGGUUUUCCCCAGCUGGGUUUUGGUAAUUCUAGACCCUGGGCUGUGUAGAUGGAGCUGCUGCCGCCCUUCUGCCUGGCCUGCCUCCCCUGCCCAGGUCAGUAUAUUUUCUUCCUCCCCUGCAGCCUGCCUACCUCUAACCUGGUGCCUGGUGCCCAAUAGUUACUAAAUGAAUGAAUGAGUGAAUGAAUAAAUGAAUGGUGAGCAUGGCCUUGUUACACUCCUGAUCCUGCCUUCUACCUGCCCCCGCUCUGGUCUUAUGAUGGCCUUCUCUUCCACUAACCUUGGCCUUGAUCUUAACUAGUAUUUGCAACCUUCUGUUCACUCCGUCUCCUGGCUCUGUAAGGAGGGAACGCUCCUCUAAAAUUAGCUAAUGUUUGAAGUGAGCACUCAGGAGACUUUCUCCCCCUCUUGUUGGAUCCCAUCUUACAUGCCUGAUGGAUCUCAAAAAUAAUUUAUGACCAGCUUCGUUAUAGAAAAGACUCAAACAGUUUCUAAAUUUAAAUAUGUUACAAAUUAUAAAACAAAUAAAUGCAGAAAUCAUGGCAAAGGGAACGUGAGAGUAAGAAACAGAAGGUAAAACAAGGAAUGAGGUCAAUGCAAAUGGGAGAUCCAGUAUAAUUUCCAGAGGUAGGCCAAAUAGCUGCAGCUGAGCUUCCUACCAGCCAGUGCAAAGAGAGCAGCCUGAUUAGUUAUAAUCUUCCUUGGUGUCCUUAAAAUAAAGGCAAAUCACGUAGAGAAACUCAACAGUUUUGGAAGUAAGCUUAGACUCUGCGUAAAGUAAGCGUACCCAUAAUCAUAGCCUCCCUAAUUAUAGUAAUCAUAAAUAGAGCAAGAAAGUUUAUAUGACUGCUUCCUUUUUAAAAAUACAGAAAAUACAGAGACCAUCACGAACACGCUCAACUCUAUCAUCUACAAUGAUAGUUGUUAAUAUUUUGCCAGCAUUACUUAUUAUACAGAAUUAAUGAAAGAAAUAAAACUCCUCAGAUAAAGUCCUCUAUCUCCUUCCUAUAGCCCUCCUCUCCCUAAAGACAACUAGCAUGGUAAAUUUGGUAUUUAUCCUCCCAGUCCAUUUAAAAGUUAUUUUACACACAGACAUAUGUUCCAUUAAUAUUAAAUACUCCUUUCAAUCAACAUAGUCAUAGUUUAUGGAAUAUUUCAUUCAGUCACUCACUUUCUUAGCUUAGAAGUAUGUUUUUGGCCAAGCAUGGUGGUUCAUGCCUGUAAUCCCAGCACUUUGGGAGGCUGAAGUGGGUGGAUCACUUGAGGUCAGAGUUUGAAACCAGCCUGGCCAACAUGGUGAAACCCUGUCCGUACUAAAAAUACAAAACUUAGCCUGGUGUGGUGGCGCAUGCCUCUAAUGCCAACUACUCGAGAGGCUGAGGCAGGAGAACCACUGGAAUGGGGGAGGUGGAGGUUGCAGUGAGUGCAUACCACUGCACUCCAGCUUGGGUGACAGAAUGGGACUCCAUCUCAAAAUGUGUGUGUGUGUGUGUGUUUAAAAAUCAGUCUGUGUUGAUACAUAUGUCUAAUUAUUUUCUUUUCAAUUCUGUACAGUAUUUUAUAGAAUAAGAAUACUACAUUUUACUUGCCUGUUCUUCUACUAAUGGCUAGUCUACAUUAGACCAGCCAAUGCUUUUCUCUUAAAAUAAAAGCUUCA